UGGGGAAUUUUGGACAAUGGGCGAAAGCCUGAUCCAGCAAUGCCGCGUGUGUGAAGAAGGCCUUCGGGUUGUAAAGCACUUUUGUCCGGAAAGAAAUCCUCUGGGUUAAUACCUCGGGGGGAUGACGGUACCGGAAGAAUAAGCACCGGCUAACUACGUGCCAGCAGCCGCGGUAAUACGUAGGGUGCAAGCGUUAAUCGGAAUUACUGGGCGUAAAGCGUGCGCAGGCGGUUUUGUAAGACGGAUGUGAAAUCCCCGGGCUUAACCUGGGAACUGCGUUCGUGACUGCAAGGCUAGAGUAUGGCAGAGGGGGGUAGAAUUCCACGUGUAGCAGUGAAAUGCGUAGAGAUGUGGAGGAAUACCGAUGGCGAAGGCAGCCCCCUGGGCCAAUACUGACGCUCAUGCACGAAAGCGUGGGGAGCAAACAGGAUUAGAUACCCUGGUAGUCCACGCCCUAAAACGAUGUCAACUAGUUGUUGGGGAUUCAUUUCCUUAGUAACGUAGCUAACGCGUGAAGUUGACCGCCUGGGGAGUACGGUCGCAAGAUUAAAACUCAAAUGAAUUGACGGGGUCAUAGCUGUUUCCU
Molecule: ribosomal RNA, 586 nt
Filed under: uncultured bacterium
Lineage: Bacteria
Description: partial 16S ribosomal RNA
Rfam family: Bacterial small subunit ribosomal RNA
Source: RNAcentral